CCUACGGGGGGCAGCAGUGGGGAAUAGUGGGCAAUGGGCGCAAGCCUGACCCAGCAACGCCGCGUGAAGGAAGAAGGCUUUCGGGUUGUAAACUUCUUGUCUGAGGGACGAAGCAAGUGACGGUACCUGAGGAAUAAGCCACGGCUAACUACGUGCCAGCAGCCGCGGUAAUACGUAGGUGGCAAGAGUUAUCCGGAUUUCCUGGGUGGAAAGGGCGUGUAGGCGGGAAAGCAAGUCAGAUGUGAAAACUCCGGGCUCAACCCUGGGCCUGCAUUUGAAACUGUUUUUCUUGAGUUCUGGAGAGGCAAUCGGCCUUCCUUGUGUAGCGGUG
Molecule: ribosomal RNA, 331 nt
Filed under: uncultured bacterium
Lineage: Bacteria
Description: partial 16S ribosomal RNA
Rfam family: Bacterial small subunit ribosomal RNA
Source: RNAcentral